This 68-nucleotide transfer RNA is filed under the name Allomyces macrogynus ATCC 38327. RNAcentral's name for it is "tRNA-Phe (GAA) (tRNA-Phe-GAA-2-1)". The record is from RNAcentral. Lineage: Eukaryota; Fungi; Blastocladiomycota; Blastocladiomycetes; Blastocladiales; Blastocladiaceae.
GUGCAUGUGGCUGAGUCGGAUAAGGCGGUGGACUGAAGUUCCAUAUGGGUUCAAACCCCAACGCAACU